AUACGUAUGGGACAAGCGUUGUUCGGAUUCAUUGGGCGUAAAGGGCACGCAGGCGGAUUGAUAAGUUGGAUGUUUAAGCGUUAGGCUCAACCUAAUAACGGCAUCCAAAACUGUCAAUCUAGAGUAUUGGAGAGGAAAGCGGAAUUCUCGGUGUAUCGGUGGAAUGCGUAGAUAUCGAGAGGAACACCAAUGGCGAAGGCAGCUUUCUGGACAAAUACUGACGCUCAUGUGCGAAAGCGUGGGGAGCAAACAGGAUUAGAAACCCCAGUAGUCC
This 274-nucleotide ribosomal RNA is filed under the name uncultured bacterium. Its description in RNAcentral is "partial 16S ribosomal RNA". It matches the Rfam family "Bacterial small subunit ribosomal RNA", at positions 523 to 796 of the family's 1533-position model. The record is from RNAcentral.